RNAcentral lists this ribosomal RNA (119 nucleotides) under Scophthalmus maximus (turbot). Lineage: Eukaryota; Metazoa; Chordata; Actinopteri; Pleuronectiformes; Scophthalmidae. The record is from RNAcentral.
GUUUACGGCCACACAGCCUGGUUCACGCCCGAUCUCGUUUGAUCUCAGAAGCUAAGAUAGGUUGGGCCUGUUUAGUACUUGGAUGGGAGACCGCCUGGGAAUACCAGGUGCUGUAAGCU